RNAcentral lists this ribosomal RNA (253 nucleotides) under uncultured bacterium. RNAcentral describes it as "partial 16S ribosomal RNA". It matches the Rfam family "Bacterial small subunit ribosomal RNA", at positions 524 to 776 of the family's 1533-position model. The record is from RNAcentral.
UACGAGGGGGGCAAGCGUUGUUCGGAGUUACUGGGCGUAAAGGGUGCGUAGGCGGCUUUUUAAGUUUGGUGUGAAAUCUCCCGGCUCAACUGGGAGGGUGCGCCGAAUACUGAGAGGCUAGAGUGUGGGAGAGGAAAGUGGAAUUCCUGGUGUAGCGGUGAAAUGCGUAGAUAUCAGGAGGAACACCGGUGGUGUAAACGGCUUUCUGGACCAUAACUGACGCUGAGGCACGAAAGCGUGGGUAGCAAACAGG